RNAcentral lists this ribosomal RNA (497 nucleotides) under uncultured bacterium. RNAcentral describes it as "partial 16S ribosomal RNA". It matches the Rfam family "Bacterial small subunit ribosomal RNA", at positions 28 to 507 of the family's 1533-position model. The record is from RNAcentral.
GACGAACGCUGGCGGCGUGCCUAAUACAUGCAAGUUGAGCGCUGAAGGCUGGUACUUGUACCAACUGGAUGAGCAGCGAACGGGUGAGUAACGCGUGGGGAAUCUGCCUUUGAGCGGGGGACAACAUUUGGAAACGAAUGCUAAUACCGCAUAAAAACUUUAAACACAAGUUUUAAGUUUGAAAGAUGCAAUUGCAUCACUCAAAGAUGAUCCCGCGUUGUAUUAGCUAGUUGGUGAGGUAAAGGCUCACCAAGGCGAUGAUACAUAGCCGACCUGAGAUGGUGAUCGGCCACAUUGGGACUGAGACACGGCCCAAACUCCUACAGGAGGCAGCAGUAGGGAAUCUUCGGCGAUGGACGAAAGUCUGACCGAGCAACGCCGCGUGAGUGAAGAAGGUUUUCGGAUCGUAAAACUCUGUUGGUAGAGAAGAACGUUGGUGAGAGUGGAAAGCUCAUCAAGUGACGGUAACUACCCAGAAAGGGACGGCUAACUACGUG